AACUUUUAGCAACGGAUCACUUGGUUCUGGCAUCGAUGAAGAACGCAGCGAAAUGCGAUAAGUAAUGUGAACUGCUGAGAUAGAGUGAAUCAUCGAGUCUUUGAACGCAUAUUGCGCCUGGCACCUCGUGUGUCGGGCACGCCCGUCAGAGCGUCAUCAACCAAAUUCUAUCCCCCUAGACCUGGCCCCUGCAGGCCCUAGGGGGGCGCUGGGGGACUACUAUAGAACCGCUAGAAGGACCUACUUUCUAGUGAACGGGUAGCCCCUGUAAUUGAUUGGCAGCCUAGUGAAGAUAGACCCUAUAUGCCCCUACGAGGUGGUCUUUAUAGAACGUCGUAGGAGGGCUACGGGGGAGCCUAUGGCCUGCUCAUCUAUGGUGAUUAUUCCUUCUAGAGAGUUGACCUCGGAUCGGGUGGGGAUACCCGCUGAACUUAAGCAUAUCAAUAAGCGGAGGCU
Molecule: unclassified non-coding RNA, 456 nt
Filed under: uncultured Ascomycota
Lineage: Eukaryota; Fungi; Ascomycota
Description: sequence contains ITS2
Rfam family: 5.8S ribosomal RNA (bases 1-156)
Source: RNAcentral